RNAcentral lists this ribosomal RNA (468 nucleotides) under uncultured bacterium. RNAcentral's name for it is "partial 16S ribosomal RNA". It matches the Rfam family "Bacterial small subunit ribosomal RNA", at positions 28 to 507 of the family's 1533-position model. The record is from RNAcentral.
GACGAACGCUGGCGGCGUGCUUAACACAUGCAAGUCGAACGGAAAGGCCCUGCUUUUGUGGGAUGCUCGAGUGACGAACGGGUGAGUAACACGUGAGUAACCUGCCCUUGACUUUGGGAUAACUUCAGGAAACUGGGGCUAAUACCGGAUAGGAGCUCCUGCUGCAUGGUGGGGGUUGGAAAGUUUCGGCGGUUGGGGAUGGACUCGCGGCUUAUCAGCUUGUUGGUGGGGUAGUGGCUUACCAAGGCCUUGACGGGUAGCCGGCCUGAGAGGGUGACCGGCCACAUUGGGACUGAGAUACGGCCCAGACUCCUACGGGAGGCAGCAGUGGGGAAUAUUGCACAAUGGGCGGAAGCCUGAUGCAGCAACGCCGCGUGCGGGAUGACGGCCUUCGGGUUGUAAACCGCUUUCGCCUGUGACGAAGCGUGAGUGACGGUAAUGGGUAAAGAAGCACCGGCUAACUACGUG